This 492-nucleotide ribosomal RNA is filed under the name uncultured bacterium. Its description in RNAcentral is "partial 16S ribosomal RNA". It matches the Rfam family "Bacterial small subunit ribosomal RNA", at positions 29 to 507 of the family's 1533-position model. The record is from RNAcentral.
AGUGAACGCUGGCGGUAGGCCUAACACAUGCAAGUCGAACGGCAGCACAGUAAGAGCUUGCUCUUACGGGUGGCGAGUGGCGGACGGGUGACGAAUACAUCGGAAUCUACUUUUUCGUGGGGGGUAACGUAGGGCCACUUACGCUAAUACCGCAUACGACCUACGGGUGAAAGCAGGGGAUCUUCGGACCUUGCGCGAUUGUAUGAGCCGAUGACGGAUUAGCUAGUUGGCGGGGUAAAGGCCCACCAAGGCGACGAUCCGUAGCUGGUCUGAGAGGAUGAUCAGCCACACUGGAACUGAGACACGGUCCAGACUCCUACGGGAGGCAGCAGUAGGGAAUAUUGGACAAUGGGCGCAAGCCUGAUGCAGCCAGACCGCGUGAGUGAAGAAGGCCUUCGGGUUGUAAAGCCCUGUUGUUGGGAAAGAAAAGCAGCAGAUUAAUACCCCGCUGUUCUGACGGUACCCAAAGAGUAAGCACCGGCUAACUUCGUG